UACGGAGGGUGCGAGCGUUGUCCGGAAUCAUUGGGCGUAAAGGGUGCGUAGGUGGCGCUGUAAGUCAGGUGUGAAAUUUCGGAGCUCAACUCCGAAACUGCAUUUGAUACUGCGGUGCUUGAGGACUGGAGAGGAGACUGGAAUUCACGGUGUAGCAGUGAAAUGCGUAGAGAUCAGGAAGAACACCGGUGGCGAAAGCGCUCUGCUGGACCUAAACUGACACUGAGGGACGAAAGCUAGGGGAGCGAAUGGG
RNAcentral lists this ribosomal RNA (253 nucleotides) under uncultured bacterium. RNAcentral's name for it is "partial 16S ribosomal RNA". It matches the Rfam family "Bacterial small subunit ribosomal RNA", at positions 524 to 776 of the family's 1533-position model. The record is from RNAcentral.